GAAGCUGUAGUGCAGCCGGCGUU
This 23-nucleotide microRNA is filed under the name Hordeum vulgare. RNAcentral describes it as "hvu-miR6176". Lineage: Eukaryota; Viridiplantae; Streptophyta; Magnoliopsida; Poales; Poaceae. The record is from miRBase by way of RNAcentral.